RNAcentral lists this ribosomal RNA (274 nucleotides) under uncultured bacterium. Its description in RNAcentral is "partial 16S ribosomal RNA". It matches the Rfam family "Bacterial small subunit ribosomal RNA", at positions 523 to 796 of the family's 1533-position model. The record is from RNAcentral.
ACACGGAGGGCGCAAGCGUUGCUCGGAAUCACUGGGCGUAAAGCGGGUGUAGGCGGUCUAGCAAGUCAGAUGUGAAAGCCCACGGCUCAACCGUGGAAGUGCAUCUGAAACUGCUAGACUUGAGUGCCAGAGAGGGAAGUGGAAUUCCUGGUGUAGGGGUGAAAUCCGUAGAUAUCAGGAGGAACACCGGUGGCGAAGGCGACUUCCUGGACGGCCACUGACGCUGAGACCCGAAAGCGUGGGGAGCAAACAGCAUUAGAUACCCUAGUAGUCC